Molecule: ribosomal RNA, 253 nt
Filed under: uncultured bacterium
Lineage: Bacteria
Description: partial 16S ribosomal RNA
Rfam family: Bacterial small subunit ribosomal RNA
Source: RNAcentral
UACGUAGGGUGCGAGCGUUGUCCGGAAUUACUGGGCGUAAAGGGCGCGUAGGCGGCAUGACAAGUCACUUGUGAAAUCUCCGGGCUUAACUCGGAACGGUCAAGUGAUACUGUCGCGCUAGAGUGCGGAAGGGGCAAUCAGAAUUCUUGGUGUAGCGGUGAAAUGCGUAGAUAUCAAGAGGAAUACCUGAGGUGAAGACGGGUUGCUAGGCCGACACUGACGCUGAAGCGCGAAAGCCAGGGGAGCAAACGAG